AGAAUCAACGCUGGCGGCGUGCCUAACACAUGCAAGUCGCACGAGAAAGGGGAGCAAUCCCUGAGUACAGUGGCGCACGGGUGAGUAACACGUGAAUAAUCUACCUCCGAGUGGGGAAUAACUGAGAGAAAUCUUAGCUAAUACCGCAUAAUACCCACGGGUCAAAGCAGCAAUGCGCUUGGAGAGGAGUUCGCGGCAGAUUAGUUAGUUGGCGGGGUAAUGGCCCACCAAGACGAUGAUCUGUAUCCGGCCUGAGAGGGCGCACGGACACACUGGAACUGAAACACGGUCCAGACUCCUACGGGAGGCAGCAGUGGGGAAUUUUGCGCAAUGGGGGAAACCCUGACGCAGCAACGCCGCGUGGAGGAUGAAGCCCCUUGGGGUGUAAACUCCUUCGAUCGGGAAGAUAAUGACGGUACCGAUAUAAGAAGCCCCGGCUAACUUCGCGCCAGCAGCCGC
This 459-nucleotide ribosomal RNA is filed under the name uncultured bacterium. RNAcentral describes it as "SSU rRNA". It matches the Rfam family "Bacterial small subunit ribosomal RNA", at positions 26 to 518 of the family's 1533-position model. The record is from RNAcentral.